Molecule: ribosomal RNA, 496 nt
Filed under: uncultured bacterium
Lineage: Bacteria
Description: bacterial SSU rRNA
Rfam family: Bacterial small subunit ribosomal RNA
Source: RNAcentral
AAAUGAAUAGACGGGGACCCGCACAAGCGGUGGAGCAUGUUGUUUAAUUCGAAGCAACGCGAAGAACCUUACCCACACUUGACAUCCUUCUUAGGGCUUUCAGAGAUGAUUGCUUUCGGUUCGGCCGGGGAAGUGACAGGUGCUGCAUGGCUGUCGUCAGCUCGUGUCGUGAGAUGUUGGGUUAAGUCCCGCAACGAGCGCAACCCUUAUCGUAUGUUGCCAUCAUUUAGUUGGGCACUCAUGCGAGACUGCCGGUGAUAAGCCGGAGGAAGGCGGGGACGACGUCAAGUCAUCAUGGCCCUUACGUGUGGGGCUACAAACGUGCUACAAUGGUAGGUACAGUGAGCAGCCAGUCCGCGAGGACGCGCUAAUCUCUAAAACCUAUCUCAGUUCAGAUUGCACUCUGCAACUCGAGUGCAUGAAGUUGGAAUCGCUAGUAAUCGUGCAUCAGCAUGUCACGGUGAAUACGUUCCCGGGUCUUGUACACACCGCCCGU